AUAUCAAUAAGCGGAGGAAAAGAAACCAACCGGGAUUGCCUCAGUAACGGCGAGUGAAGCGGCAAGAGCUCAAAUUUGAAAUCUGGUGCCUUCGGUACCCGAGUUGUAAUUUGAAGAGGAUGCCUCGGUUGCAGCCACGGCCCAAGUUCCUUGGAACAGGACGUCGCAGAGGGUGAGAAUCCCGUUCAGCGGCUGCCGGCUUGCUUCCAUGUGUGGCUCCUUCGAAGAGUCGAGUUGUUUGGGAAUGCAGCUCAAAAAUGGGUGGUAAAUUCCAUCUAAAGCUAAAUACUGGCGAGAGACCGAUAGCGCACAAGUAGAGUGAUCGAAAGAUGAAAAGCACUUUGAAAAGAGAGUUAAACAGUAC
Molecule: ribosomal RNA, 364 nt
Filed under: uncultured fungus
Lineage: Eukaryota; Fungi
Description: eukaryotic LSU rRNA
Rfam family: Eukaryotic large subunit ribosomal RNA
Source: RNAcentral